CCUACGUGAGGCAGCAGUGAGGAAUAUUGGUCAAUGGCCGAGAGGCUGAACCAGCCAAGUCGCGUGAGGGAAGACGGCCCUACGGGUUGUAAACCUCUUUUGUCGGGGAGCAAAGCGAACCACGUGUGGUUCAUUGAGAGUACCCGAAGAAAAAGCAUCGGCUAACUCCGUGCCAGCAGCCGCGGUAAUACGGAGGAUGCGAGCGUUACUCGGAAUCACUGGGCGUAAAGAGUGCGCAGGCGGGCUUGUAAGUCAGAUGUGAAAUCCUGUAGGUUAACGACAGAACUGCAUUUGAAACUAUGAGUCUAGAGUGUGGGAGAGGUAGGUGGAAUGCGUGGUGUAGGGGUAAAAUCCGUAGAUAUCAAGAGGAAGACUCAUUGCGAAGGCGACCUACUGGAACAUUACUGACGCUCAUGCACGAAAGCGUGGGGAGCAAACAGGAUUAGAUACCCCAGUAGUC
RNAcentral lists this ribosomal RNA (460 nucleotides) under uncultured bacterium. RNAcentral's name for it is "partial 16S ribosomal RNA". It matches the Rfam family "Bacterial small subunit ribosomal RNA", at positions 338 to 795 of the family's 1533-position model. The record is from RNAcentral.